This is a long non-coding RNA of Daphnia magna, 546 nucleotides long. RefSeq lists it as uncharacterized. The transcript is spliced from 2 exons. NCBI's taxonomy places the organism in Eukaryota, Metazoa, Arthropoda, Branchiopoda, Diplostraca, Daphniidae. The record is from RefSeq and is a predicted model, not a curated record.
UAACAAUUGUUGACUGCCGCUUAAGGUUAGGGGCAGACGCGGGGCGCCAGACCAGGCCAGAGCCAGACGGACCGCGGAGGCGUGGAUGGCAGACCUGGGACGGGGAACCGUCUACCGCUACCGGCAGCAGAGUCAUAAUACCAGAUAUAUCAGAUACUGGCGCGACACACGUAAAAUGUGCUUUUUUCAGCUUUUUUUCCAGCGCUAGCACCUUCCGGUAGUAAGCUGGUUUUCAGGUAGCAUGGAUAGAUGGCAUUACUAGGGAAGGUGCGCCGAUAUUGAAUGGUCAAAAGGAGAGAAAAGCUGGAAAAAAGACUUCAGAAAAAAGACUUGUACUACAUUCGAAAUGUUUAUAUUUUAAAAUGUCAGUAUAUUCUGACAACGGUUUCCAGUAGGCCUAAAUACCAAGAAAAAGUACAGAUUAUUUGAACCAAUUAAAAUGUAUAUUGCUCCUGUAACAACAACAAAAGAAACGUCCCAGAAUGUGGGUAUUCAAAAGCAGAUUUUUUUCUGAUUAUUUACAUAAAGCCACACUGAAAAGCAUUC